CGAGUGUACUAGGUGGGUGUCUUGCCAAGUGGAGCAUGAGGUAUUGUCAGCAAAAUGUGGCUUGCAGAAAUGUGAACAGGGUUGCACUUUACAAUACGAAAUAGUAAAUAAAAAUCCUAAGAUUAAUACAGUAGAUAUGAUUAAUAACCUAAAUAUAUAAAAAAGACAGUUCUUUAGUCGUCUCCUGGCCUGGUCCCAGGUUCGAGAGACACCGUAUAAGCGUCGUGUGAUGACAAUGGGCAUUUCAUUUUCUCCAUUAUCAGGAUGAAACGAGUCUAUCUUUAUCAGGUUAGACAUUGUGUGGUACUCUAGGCUUUCUGUUCCUGCUGGAUGUUCGAGUACCUUGUUGUUGUUCAGGUGGGGGAUCAAAGGGCUUUCUGAGUCUUGGCUCUUUCCGGCGUUGUGUGUUAAUCAGUGAUUGUGUGUGUGUAGGUGUAUUGAAUCCGGGCGCUGGCUCGCCGGAGACGUCAUCUACUUGAUCCGACGCCUUAGGUGGUUUGGUGGGGCUGGUCUUAACCCUGCUGGCAUGAAUCCACUGAGGUUGUCCGUCUGUUAGGAUGCUGGUUCUCGUCACUGCAAGUACAGUCUGGGGGCUGGAACACGCGGCCUCCCCGAGUGCCCUUGGUUUUAGCAACUUUACCAAUACCGCAUCUCCUGGUUUCCACGGAUGGGUUGGAUCUAUGGAAGGGAGAGGCUGAGAGAGACAAACUUUCUGAUAGUUAUUAUUCAGUGUUUCUACCAGGUUAUGAACAUAGUCAGACAAUGCAGUGUCUAUGUCCCCUUCCAAUAGCGGUGCCCCUCUGGAGGCUGACCAUGGUGUUGGAAACGGUCUUCCCAUGAUUAUUUCAAAUGGAGAUAAUUUGGUUGCUGCGGAUGGAGUCAUUCUAAUCUCACAGAGGACUUGAGGAAGUAAUUUGAUCCAGGUCAUUCCUGUUUCUAUCAUUGCUUUAGUCAGGCGGUUUUUUAUGGUCCUAUUCAUUCUUUCUACAACUCCUGAACUCUGAGGAUGGUAUGGCACAUGAUAUUUCCAGUCUAUUGCUAGAGUUUUAGCACACUUUUGAAUUACUUCUGAUGUGAAUGAAGGUCCUCUAUCACUGUUAAUUUGGUGAGGUAUUCCAAAUCUGGGUAUUAUUUCAUUGCACAACUUUUGACAGACUACUUCUGCAGUUUCUUUUGAUGUUGGGUAAGUUUCUACCCAUUUACUAAAUUGGUCCACUAUUACCAGUAAGUACUUGAUGCUUCCUUGUGCUGGCAUGUGUGUAAAAUCAAUUUGUAAUGUAUGAAAUGGGAAAUCUGGUUGUGGUAAAUGCUGAUGUUUUGCUUUUGGUUUUCCUACAUUAGUUCGUGCACAUGUUAGACAGGUUGCUAAUAUGCGUUUUACUGCGUGUGAUGUUUUCUUGAUUACAAAUCUUGAUUUUAUUGCUCCU
This is a long non-coding RNA of Astatotilapia calliptera (eastern happy), 1427 nucleotides long. The record is from Ensembl. Lineage: Eukaryota; Metazoa; Chordata; Actinopteri; Cichliformes; Cichlidae.